ACGGAGGGUGCAAGCGUUAUCCGGAAUCAUUGGGUUUAAAGGGUCCGUAGGCGGGCAUAUAAGUCAGUGGUGAAAUGCUGUGGCUCAACCAUAGCACUGCCAUUGAUACUGUAUGUCUUGAAUUAUUGUGAAGUGGUUAGAAUAUGUAGUGUAGCGGUGAAAUGCUUAGAUAUUACAUAGAAUACCGAUUGCGAAGGCAGAUCACUAACAAUAUAUUGACGCUGAUGGACGAAAGCGUAGGUAGCGAACAGG
This 252-nucleotide ribosomal RNA is filed under the name uncultured bacterium. Its description in RNAcentral is "partial 16S ribosomal RNA". It matches the Rfam family "Bacterial small subunit ribosomal RNA", at positions 525 to 776 of the family's 1533-position model. The record is from RNAcentral.